UUGAAAAAAAAAUUAUAUUGUAAGUACAGUACAAAAAAGUCUGUGUAUAAUUGUAAUGUAAUCUGGACCAAACAGCAAAGAAAUAACAAAAAUAUAAAAACUGCUAAGUCUUGACAAAGUUUCCCUACAGUACCAAAUACCACAAGAUACAGAUUAUACAAAGUGUACAAAUUUUAAUAAAAAUACAAUACACCAGGGUCCUGUGUGUUUUUCACUCUUCAAGAGUUUUCAGUUGUACAGAGGACAAAGCGAAAGUUGAUCCCCUUCUGUUUCUUCAAAAGCAGAUCUACCUCUUCACCAAAAUGCUCUCAACUCUGAAGGGCUGGAAAGAGCUGGUUAUUUUGUGCUGCUCACAACAGCAGAUGCUUUACUAUAGGCUAAGAUCUGAAGCAGGAUUGGACUGCCUCCCUCCUGGGCCCUUCCUGUUUCCAGGCCCAUUGGGAUUUGUCCUAAGCUGUUAAAGCGGGUUCUGGCCUGAUGGUCUGAGAGCCUUCUGUGCCUCCUCUGCUGAGAAAACCCCUCACUGCACUGAGAAAAGAUCUGUAAGAGACAGACUACCUUGUAGAGGCACAUCUGGGGAAUACGCGGCAAAGAUGCAUGGGGAGAAGAACCCUCCACACCCCAGGAUUUAAUUUACUUCUGAUUUGGGGCUCAGCCACAAUGAGGGACAGCUCACUUUCAACUGUCCUAAGAAACAGAAGCUAGAUUUACUUGGAAGUAAAAAAUGCCUCUUCUUUUAUUUUAAAACUUUCCUGUUACAGAGGUGAUAAGGCCUGAGUCAAAUAAUAUUUCAGUUGUUCUGCCCACCUUCACAAGAUAGCCUGUUUCCACAAACUCCUAGAAUCUUCCUGGUGCUUCUUUACACAAUGCCCAUGCUUACUACUAUACAUAGAGUUGAUUCCUGCAGGAAGUGAGCUGAGAAAAAACUUGAUUCACAUUUUUCACGCACUGUUGGCUGAGGGAGGAAUUUUUGCUUUUAAAUUAUGUAUAUAUAUAAAUAUAUAUACACACACACAGAGAAAUAUACAGGAUAAAUUAAAAUCUGUUACAGAUAUUGGUAAAAGUUAAAUACAUGUGAUAUGAACACCACAUACACAUACAUACACACAGACAAAAGCCUAAACAGGAAUCAAGUGUUCUCCUGCUGCUCCUCUUCCAGAGGAGCAGAAAACCAAACUCCAGGUAUGUGGCUGGAAAGAAGGGAAACCGGUCCAAUCAACCCACAUGUGCCUGACUUGGCCGUAACUGCUUCAAACUGGCCACUGGUCACUGCCUUGCAGCAGCACCAAAGCUCCUGCAAUAGUGCUGGUGAGAGAGAUGGGGGACGAGCCAUUUCACAAAACAGGUGCAAUAUGGGCAAGAAGCAAUUCAAGUUUUUCCCAUCUGCUUCUCUACUCCUUUCCAUCAAAGUACGCUGACCAUGCUGCGGAAAAAUCAGCACGAGGUUCAUUUUCUCAAGCCAAUGCAAUGGGUUGAUACAUUGUGCUAAUGAUGAUUUGAGUAUGAGUCCAUAAGGAAAAAAUAAACUUCUUGUCAUCUACUUCACUUCAAAUACCAGAUACCAGACCAGACAGCCGAUAAUAUCAACUUUCAGUUAUUACUGUUUGAGGAGUAGGGGUUGGAGAAAGUGACCAAGAGGCAAAAAGCUAUCCAGCUUUCCCCUCAAGAAGUGUGUUUUAAACAGAAAGAGUUACAGAUAGGGCUGGUGAAGAAUUCAGUUCUAUUCCCUGGUCCAAAAUGUAUCAUCUCUACCUGCCCACAGAAUAUCAGAAUACUUUAGUUUAAGCAGGGAUAUCAGGAGAUCAUCUGGUCCAUCUCCCUUCUUAAAGCAAGUCCAACAAGAGCAGGCUGCUCAUUCCGUUUUUGAAUAUCAUCAAGGAAGGAGAGUCAAGAACCUCUCUGGGCCACCUGUUUCAGUGACCCCUCUCAUGGUGACAGCUUUCUUGUUUAUAUCGGGAAGUCCAUUCUCUGUUUGCUUCCCCCAGUAAAUCUGAAUUUAAGGCAAAUAUCUCAAAAGCUUUCUGAAUUCUUCAUACAAAAUAUUUUCAGAUUGGAGGACAUUUCACCCACCAACACAAAAGGGUUUUCUCAGCUUAACUUCACAACUUUUUAUAAAAUAGAAGUAAAAUAGUUACAAUCCUAUGUAUAUACUGUACAUAU
This is a long non-coding RNA of Taeniopygia guttata (zebra finch), 2160 nucleotides long. Lineage: Eukaryota; Metazoa; Chordata; Aves; Passeriformes; Estrildidae. The record is from Ensembl.